Molecule: unclassified non-coding RNA, 174 nt
Filed under: soil metagenome
Description: partial internal transcribed spacer 1
Source: RNAcentral
CAGAGUUGCGAAACUCCAAAACCCUUGCUGAACCCACCACUGAACAGUUGCUUCGGCGGCGUGGAUGGCAGGGCCCCUCCCUAGCUGACGGGCCGGCCGCGCCGAACCGCAGGAGGCACCCUAAACUCUUGUUUGUACAGGCCUCUCUGAGUAUAAGCCACUUGAAUAAAGUCA